UCCUUAUCAAGAGUGGCGGGAAGAGUUCUGGCUCUAAGAUCCGCCCAGCAACCCUUUGAAGCGAUACUUUGAAGAAGGUGCUAAAUCCAGCCCAAGCCGCUCGUCGGCCGGUGGGGAAGAUAAAAU
Molecule: non-coding RNA, 126 nt
Filed under: Candidatus Parcubacteria bacterium
Lineage: Bacteria; Candidatus Parcubacteria
Description: Parcubacteria Wolfebacteria SAM-I sequence
Rfam family: SAM riboswitch aptamer (S box leader)
About the family: The SAM riboswitch is found upstream of a number of genes which code for proteins involved in methionine or cysteine biosynthesis in Gram-positive bacteria.
Source: RNAcentral